Molecule: ribosomal RNA, 253 nt
Filed under: uncultured bacterium
Lineage: Bacteria
Description: partial 16S ribosomal RNA
Rfam family: Archaeal small subunit ribosomal RNA
Source: RNAcentral
UACCAGCACCCCGAGUGGUCGGGACGAUUAUUGGGCCUAAAGCAUCCGUAGCCGGUCCUACAAGUCUUCCGUUAAAUCCACCUGCUUAACAGAUGGGCUGCGGAAGAUACUAUAGGGCUAGGAGGCGGGAGAGGCAAGCGGUACUCAGUGGGUAGGGGUAAAAUCCUCUGAUCCAUUGAAGACCACCAGUGGCGAAGGCGGCUUGCCGGAACGCGCUCGACGGUGAGGGAUGAAAGCUGGGGGAGCAAACCGG